GAGGAAACCGGUGCGAAUCCGGUGCGGUCCCGCCACUGUGACCGGAGCGAUCCGGGAGCCAGGAACUC
Molecule: non-coding RNA, 68 nt
Filed under: Allokutzneria albata
Lineage: Bacteria; Bacillati; Actinomycetota; Actinomycetes; Pseudonocardiales; Pseudonocardiaceae
Source: RNAcentral